This 2436-nucleotide long non-coding RNA is filed under the name Pelobates cultripes (western spadefoot toad). The record is from RNAcentral. Lineage: Eukaryota; Metazoa; Chordata; Amphibia; Anura; Pelobatidae.
CAUUUUCCUUUGUAUUUUUUAUUAUAAAAAGUAUGCAAUGCAGAUACUAGAGUCCAUCGUUUUAGAAAUGUGUAUAGGUGAUUAGCAUUACAUAAAAGUAGUCUGUCUUCAUAUACCUUCAUAGCAGAUGUUGCAUAGCCAAUUUAUUAGAAUAGAAACUUGAAAACAUUUAAUAUAUCACUUUAAAUAAUGAUAACCUUUUUAACUCGAAAUAGUGAAAAACACUAUGAGGUUAGCUAUUUCUAAAUAACACAUAGACACAGACUCACACGAAUACGUAAAUACACAGUCACAUAACAAAAACGGCAUUAGUAAACAUGUAAGGUAAACAUAUACAAACUUGGAGGGUUGUUCACAAAAGUGAGAAUUGUCACAAAUGCAAUUUUAAAUUAAAAGCUAAAAUAUCUGAAUUGGAUUUGAAAAUUGUUCCACUAUGCUUCUUGAUCAGCUAGUUUUGUUCUAAAACUUGAAAUUCACGUUUAAUUAUUUUUAAUGAACUGAAUAGAAUUCUAACGUUAGAGAAUAACACUAACAAUGUGGAAUACAAUCACAUUUGGAAGACAAAGUAUUGAUUCAAGUAGAUCAGAGCUUAAAGGUACACUAUAGUCAACAAAACAACAACUAACUUAAUGAAGCAGUUUUGGUGUAUAAAUCAUGCCCCUGCAGUCUCACGGCUUAAUUCCCUGCCAUUUAGGAGUUAAAUCACUUUGUUCAUGCAGCCCUAGUCACACCUCCCUGCAUGUGACUUACACUGACUUCCUAAACACUACCUGCAUAAAGUCAUCUAAUGUUUACACUUCAUUUAUUGCAAAUUCUGGAGCCUCCUGUGUAUAAUUAAAGUUCACUUUACAGAGCAGGAGAUAAAAACGUUUAAAUGAAGUUUCAUCUGUUUAAAAAUGAAUCUAUUUUGUUUUCAUGCAGACUGUGUCAGGCACAGCCACACUGGCUAUGGCUGUAUAAACAGAAACAAAAUCAAUUUAACUCCUAAAUGGCAAAUAAUUGAGCAGUGAGACCGCAGGAGCAUAAUCUAUACAUACAAACUGAAUCACGGUUGUUUUGAUGCUUAUAGUAUCCAUUUAAAUGUGGGAUAAAGGAAAGUGUUUGAAACAUUUAAGGUAAGAAAAAAGGGGGUGUUUAAAUGAUGUGGAAUUUGAAGGGUAAUUUCAAACUCACUACUCACCCUCCUAUGAUGUCUGUACUCCAGUCACCCUCCUAUGAUUGAUAUUAGAGAUGCAGUAGCUGUAAUACAGAGUGCAUAGAACAGCACUCAAUGCCAUCCUAUUAUAUACAGAGUGCAUCAUUCCCUGAUCCUCCAGCAAGGCAUUUUCUUUGUGAGAGGCUUAGUGGGCAGAUGGGAAGUGGUCCCUUCCACAUCCUGUCCAACCUCACAGACAGACACUGGAGAAUCUGGGAUCUGAUUUUUUUAUACCCUCUAUAACUGUUCCUGGAACUAUGCUAUCAAGUAUAGGAGACUGACUGGGAUACAGAGGACACUGACUGAGGCUCUAGGUACUUAUCUCUCCCCAUCCGUUCACUUGCAUUUCAAAAAGGCACAUUAUAAAUUAUGAAACCAGUCACCGCCUACAGGACAGGCAUCUGUAGGCAGGUGCAUACUCUGACUAAUGGGAAAUCCACUUGUGACAGUGUCAAAUUCAAUAAGGGACAAAAAACAACUUUCAAGAAAAUAAAUAUUAUUAUUAAGCCAUUUAAGUUAGGGCAUGCUAUGCCAUUCUGGAGGAGGCUAGCUCAAGACAACAUUUGGGCGGAAUAGCACACCAUAACAAUUUAGCCAUCCUUCCAGUCUGCCUCCUUUCCUAAUGCUACGAAUGAUAGUUUAAAAAAAAAUUGUAACCCCUUCUUUGCCAGAUAACUGUACUGUACAGUACCUAUGCUGUACGGUAAUGUAUCAGUAAUCAGUGUGAUCAGAGGGCACUCUGAUCAAGCUGUCUUUUUUUUGUUUCUCAAGGUAAAGAAGGUAUGGAAUACUUCACUUACAUAAAGGACCCGCAGAACCCUGGUCAAAUAGCUGACACAUAUGUGCUGAUCAUAACCAAGUUGUAACAUAUCAAUAUUUAAUUACAUUGGAUUCAAACAAAAGUGUGUCUCGUAUCCUCCAAUUAGUGAUGUGUUCUUUACCAUGACAAAAAGAGGGGGUGGGGAGGGAAAGAAGUGGAGGGGUGAUGGGAAGAGGUGGGAGGGAAUGGAAAGGAGGGGAGGAUGAAGAGAGAGGUCAAGGUGAAGGCUAUACUUAAUAUGUAAUAGGGUCACACAAAUCUGUACUUAUGUGUUAUAUGUUUGAUUUUAUUUUGAGCUCUAAGUAUCUCAUUCCUUCUUGCUCAGCUGGUGAUCUGUGAAUCUUGAUUUCUCAGUCGUUAUCUCUAUCUGAAACCUGCAUGUUUCUUUAUGUUUAAACCCUGCACUCUAUCUGAAAAUCUG